GUGGGACUUGCUCCCACACGCUAAACAUUUCUCUUUUUCGCCUUUGUUUUAUACCUCCACAAUCAAAAGCUGCUCUCUCUCAUUCACUAAUCCACCCAUUAUGAUAAACUGUAUCUAUCCUUACUAGUUUGUUUCUGUUAUCACUUCAUUGCAGACACUUUAUCAGGUUAAAAAUCUUAAAUCUGAACAAUAUAGUUUAGGUGUUGUUCAUAAAAAAGAGAAGAGCAAACAGUUUGCCUUAGAACCAAAUAUAUUUAAAUAUUUGGACAGGUGAAUGCAGUUCAAGUUAAUUAUAACCUAGUGAAUGGUAUUGAUGAGCAACCAGAUGAACAAUCACUUCUUCCAGAGUGGUCCACUGCUUAAGGUGUUAUUGGUGAUCCAGAAAUAUCUGUACCAGGUUGAACUUCCUACUUUAAUUUCAAAAUCUGAGUAUUGUUGUUUUCAAAGGAACACUAACGAAGCAGAAACUAUACUCCAUAACUUUCAAAUAAUUUGGUUAAAGUAUGGAGCAGAGAACAACAAUGACGGUCCACCAAAACACGAAUGCAAGUCAGCUGGAGUCAUCAAUAAAAUUGAAUCUCUAAAACGAGAACGCAUAAGAGACUCAAAAUGACUUGGACCAUGAGAAGUUGAAUCCUAAACUUGAGGCUAUUGGCAGUAGACAUAAAGGGAAGAUUCUUGUUCAUGGUUCUUGAACUGAUACCUGGACUGAAAUCGAAGAGGCCAAUUUAGUCCUUGGCUUUUAUACAUUUGGGAAGAACUUCGUUCAAGUGAAAAGGUUUAUACGCAAUAAGAAAAUGAAGGAUAAACUGUCAUUCUAUUA
RNAcentral lists this long non-coding RNA (823 nucleotides) under Medicago truncatula (barrel medic). RNAcentral describes it as "lncRNA gene27058". The record is from RNAcentral. Lineage: Eukaryota; Viridiplantae; Streptophyta; Magnoliopsida; Fabales; Fabaceae.